Molecule: ribosomal RNA, 253 nt
Filed under: uncultured bacterium
Lineage: Bacteria
Description: partial 16S ribosomal RNA
Rfam family: Bacterial small subunit ribosomal RNA
Source: RNAcentral
UACGUAGGUGGCAAACGUUGUCCGGAUUUACUGGGUGUAAAGGGCGUGUAGCCGGGUUGACAAGUCAGAUGUGAAAUCCUGCGGCUUAACCGCAGAACUGCAUUUGAAACUGUUGAUCUUGAGUACUGGAGAGGCAGACGGAAUUCCUAGUGUAGCGGUGAAAUGCGUAGAUAUUAGGAGGAACACCAGUGGCGAAGGCGGUCUGCUGGACAGCAACUGACGGUGAGGCGCGAAAGCGUGGGGAGCAAACAGG